This 165-nucleotide ribosomal RNA is filed under the name Lecanorales sp. RNAcentral's name for it is "partial large subunit ribosomal RNA". It matches the Rfam family "Eukaryotic large subunit ribosomal RNA", at positions 99 to 261 of the family's 3401-position model. Lineage: Eukaryota; Fungi; Ascomycota; Lecanoromycetes; Lecanorales. The record is from RNAcentral.
CGGCAACAGCUCAAAUUUGAAAUCUGGUUCCUUCGGGGCCCGAGUUGUAAUUUGCAGAGGGUGCUUCGGGCGCGGUCCCAGUCCAAGUCCCUUGGAACAGGGCGUCACAGAGGGUGAGAAUCCCGUACGUGUCUGGCGACCUACCCCAUACGAAGCCCUUUCGAC